This 258-nucleotide long non-coding RNA is filed under the name Mytilus galloprovincialis (Mediterranean mussel). Lineage: Eukaryota; Metazoa; Mollusca; Bivalvia; Mytilida; Mytilidae. The record is from RNAcentral.
AAUUUAAUUAUCAAAUUAUACAUAAAAAUAUAAGUUGAUUUUCGGUGAUUCAGAUGUCUACUUAGAUUGAAGUCCCAUAGCCUCCACUGUACAGCUACAUGAAUAUAUUGCGUAAAAGGUUUUAAAAUUGCCGAGGCAGAUUACUUUUGGGUAGAAGGGAGCGGAAGGCACGCCCUUUUCAAGGAGCUUCAUGUAUGGUUGAUGCGUAGUCCUUUUUUUUUUUUUUUUAAUAAAGUUGACUUGCUAGACCCCUCCCCC